Molecule: long non-coding RNA, 712 nt
Organism: Panicum virgatum (switchgrass)
Lineage: Eukaryota; Viridiplantae; Streptophyta; Magnoliopsida; Poales; Poaceae
Exons: 2
Source: RefSeq, a predicted model, not a curated record
UACGCCGCGGAUACGUAUCCUAGACGUAUCCGUGAGCUGGGCCGUAUUGGGCCGAAAAACCUCAGAUUGGAUACGUAUUUGAUAGGAUACGGCCCAGUUACAGCCCACCUAAAGGAGCAUACAGCCCCCUGUUGCCCUAACCCAACUCCCCCACACGCAGCCGCUCCGCUCGUCCCGCUCCCCCACGUGCGACUCGCGCCGCCACUCGUGGCCGGCCCCCGCCGGAGCAGCCUCCGCCCUCGCCGGCGACGACGAGCCACGGCCGCAACCCGCAGGGACCCCAGGACCAGGAGCUCCCCGCGCGGCAACGACGAGCCGGAACCGCGGCUGCACCGCUGCAGGGACCAGAGAACCUCCGCCCGCCUGGCUGCUGCAGAGGACCCCCGCCCGUCUCAAGCAGUAUGGCAUCUCCAAAUCUGAGUGAUGCUAGUGCUAGUGCUAGUGCUGCUGCUAGUUCUAGUGUUGGAUCUGGGGCCAGACAAAUAACUGAUAUCAGGGCUCCAUUGUGGGAUCAUGUCACCAUUCUAGAGAAGCCUAAACCUGGUGGAGGAAAUAUAUUAUGGAGAUGCAACUAUUGUCCAUUUUCAAAAAGCACUAGCUACACAAGCGUUGAAGCUCAUUUGCUGCAGAAAUUAAGACAGGGGAUUAAGACAUCUCUAUUUUGUAAUUUAUUAUGCACUAUUAUUAUUUAUUAAAAAAUAGUUAAAACGUA